This 939-nucleotide ribosomal RNA is filed under the name Triticum aestivum (bread wheat). RNAcentral's name for it is "partial small subunit ribosomal RNA". Lineage: Eukaryota; Viridiplantae; Streptophyta; Magnoliopsida; Poales; Poaceae. The record is from RNAcentral.
AUGGCGUCUGCGUGCCAUUCCUCCGCCUCUACCUCGCCGACCUCGCCGCCUCGGUCGCCGUCGCAUCCGCCACCGACCAGAGGAACGACACCUGCGGCGAACCUGGGUGAGUCCAUCUUCGACAGUAGGUGGUCCCCUCCUCGCUGGUGGAGAUCGCCCCCAUCCUUCGCGUCGCAAACGAGGUGGAGGCCAGCAACCCACGAGUCGCAUACCUAUGUAAGCAACCCCCUUCUUCGCACAUUCAUCCUCUGCCUGUUAAUUAUUACUGUUACCAAGCACAACAGAGCACAUUCAUCCUCUGCCAUUCCUCCGCCUCUACCUCGCCGACCUCGCCGCCUCGGUCGCCGUCGCAUCCGCCACCGACCAGAGGAACGACACCUGCGGCGAACCUGGGUGAGUCCAUCUUCGACAGUAGGUGGUCCCCUCCUCGCUGGUGGAGAUCGCCCCCAUCCUUCGCGUCGCAAACGAGAUGGAGGCCAGCAACCCACGAGUCGCAUACCUAUGUCGGUUCUACGCCUUCGAGAAGGCCCAUCGCCUCGACCACACCUCCAGCGUCGCUGGAGUUCACCUUGUCGGCCGACGACUAAAGGCUCAUGGAGGAGGUCUGCUUCGGCGCCAACGCUGUCGUGUACCGCGCCAUCUUCCUCCCGGCCAACCGGACCAUCGUCGUCAAGUGCCUUGAUCUUGAUUGACUCAACAGUAACCUGCCGCUGGCCUUGUCCUCCUCGAGGAGGAGGAGCGGGAGGGGCGCACCCAGCCACCACGGUCGCCGUCGUUAAGUGCUUCUUCCACCUGGAGCUCGAAAUCCACGACGUCGUCGUCCAGCCACCCAAGGUGAAGGUGACCCCAACUACCCUCCGUCCAGCCCGAAACGGAAUCACAUGGUGGGAGCGGAAACAGAAUUGUUGGGUGGUUGGUUGGUAUCUAUACUUUGGUUAA